GAUGAACGCUGGCGGCGUGCCUAAUACAUGCAAGUCGAGCGAACAGACGAGGAGCUUGCUCCUCUGACGUUAUCGGCGGACGGGUGAGUAACACGUGGAUAACCUACCUAUAAGACUGGGGUAACUUCGGGAAACCGGAGCUAAUACCGGAUAAUAUAUUGAACCUCAUUGUUCAAUAGUGAAAAACGGUUUUUCUGUCACUUAUAGAUGGAUCCGCGCCGCAUUAGCUAGUUGGUAAGGUAACGGCUUACCAAGGCAACGAUGCGUAGCCGACCUGAGAGGGUGAUCGGCCACACUGGAACUGAGACACGGUCCAGACUCCUACGGGAGGCAGCAGUAGGGAAUCUUCCGCAAUGGGCGAAAGCCUGACGGAGCAACGCCGCGUGAGUGAUGAAGGUCUUCGGAUCGUAAAACUCUGUUAUUAGGGAAGAACAAAUGUGUAAGUAACUAUGCACGUCUUGACGGUACCUAAUCAGAAAGCCACGGCUAACUACGUG
Molecule: ribosomal RNA, 497 nt
Filed under: uncultured bacterium
Lineage: Bacteria
Description: partial 16S ribosomal RNA
Rfam family: Bacterial small subunit ribosomal RNA
Source: RNAcentral